AUACGGAGGGGACAAGCGUUAUUCGGAAUCACUGGGCGUAAAGGACGCGUAGGCGGGUUAUUAAGUCGGGUGUGAAAUCCAAUGGCUCAACCAUUGAACUGCAUUCGAAACUGAUAGCCUAGAGUAUGCAAGGGGCAGGUGGAAUUAGUGGUGUAGGGGUAAAAUCCGUAGAUAUCACUAGGAAUACCGAAAGCGAAGGCGACCUGCUGGGACAUUACUGACGCUGAGGCGUGAAAGCGUGGGGAGCAAACAGCAUUAGAAACCCCAGUAGUCC
This 274-nucleotide ribosomal RNA is filed under the name uncultured bacterium. Its description in RNAcentral is "partial 16S ribosomal RNA". It matches the Rfam family "Bacterial small subunit ribosomal RNA", at positions 523 to 796 of the family's 1533-position model. The record is from RNAcentral.